Long non-coding RNA from Dermochelys coriacea (leatherback sea turtle), 609 nucleotides. RefSeq lists it as uncharacterized. The transcript has 3 exons. The record is from RefSeq and is a predicted model, not a curated record. Lineage: Eukaryota; Metazoa; Chordata; Testudines; Dermochelyidae.
GGCGGUCUCUAAUCCCAUGAACCAUUGACCAACCAUGCUUUGAGACAAAACACUGUGGAAACUGGAGUGAAGGAUCUUCCUGCCUUCCUGGGAGAGGAGACGAGGAGCGGCAUGAAGAGUGAUCACGGAUUAAACGGACAAUUAUAUUAGACCCAGAUCAUUGCAGAUGGACACCACACACCAGACUGAGGCUAUAUUGCACCUGUUCCAGAGAGCUGACUUGAUGAAGCAAUCGUCAAGAUACGGGAAGAUCUGGACCCCCCAACAUCUUAGCCUGGCAUCUGUCUGAUCCGAGAACAGACCAACUCCAUCAAAAGGGAGGUCCUGGAUUGUGGCCUGCAUCUCCUGGGAGAGGCCUGCUGCCCGGAGCCAGGAGCUGCAUCACAUGAUCACCACUGUUGCGACCACCCUUGCCAUUGAGUCCGAAUGUCCCAUGCCAUCUGCAGGGAACAUCUGGCCACCACAGAACCCUCCUCCACCAGAGUGCCAAACUCUUGGGCCAAACCCUAAGGGAGAGAUUCCUGGAACUUGUUGAGACUGUCCCAGAGAUUAAAAUUGUACUGGCCCUCAGGGCCUGUUGGUUCACCACCUGAAAUUGCAGGCUAGCGA